Molecule: long non-coding RNA, 684 nt
Organism: Trifolium pratense (red clover)
Lineage: Eukaryota; Viridiplantae; Streptophyta; Magnoliopsida; Fabales; Fabaceae
Exons: 2
Source: RefSeq, a predicted model, not a curated record
UCAAUAAACUCAUCUCCAAUCUCUCUGGCCAGAAUUCAUCUAUCAAAACAUUAAUUUUUUAAAAAAAUAAAAACAAAUUCAUAUCAAAUCCCCCUCUCACCUUAAAAUCUUCAUGUGAAGCAAAAACCAUUUUUCCACAUCUGAAGAAAAAAAGGAACACCAUUUCCAUUGUUAUGCAAGAGAACAAAGAAAAACGCUUCAACCAAGCCAUGAGGAGUGAGGACGGAGCCUAUAUCUUUCACUACGAAUCUGGGCACAAUCUGUGGUUGAAGGGAGAUAGCUUCUGGGUCGUUGGAUUCGAGUAUAGAUAGAACAACCACAUGAAAGAUGUUAACCGGAGAGGUAGUCGACAGUGACGGAAAUGUCGAUGAUGGUGACCAGCUGGAGAUAAUGGAGGAGGUAUUGACACUCAUUCACUUCAACCUCAUUCUCUAUCUGCUUCAUUUAUGAUUUUUUUUUUAGUGAUGAUGAUGAAAGGAAGGGUUGGGUUUGAAGAUGAGAAGAGUUUCUAUUUCCAUGCUGUUGUGCUAUUGUUAAAUUUUUUUAGGGAUAGAUUUUGUUUUUUUAAGUUAGCAGAUUCCAAUUUUGAAGAUGAGAAUGAUUUCCCUUCCAAAUUUGAAGGUGAGAGAUUUGAGCAUGAGUUUGUUUAAGUUGUUAUAUUUAAUUUAUGUUUUCUUUUUUUAA